GGGCAGGUGGCCGAGUGGACAAUGGCAGCAGACUGUAAAUCUGCCGGCGUAAAGCCUUCGGAGGUUCGAAUCCUCCCCUGCCCA
Molecule: transfer RNA, 84 nt
Filed under: bacterium
Lineage: Bacteria
Also listed under: 1 other name
Description: tRNA-Tyr
Rfam family: tRNA
About the family: Transfer RNA (tRNA) molecules are approximately 80 nucleotides in length.
Source: RNAcentral